This 456-nucleotide ribosomal RNA is filed under the name uncultured Leptolinea sp. RNAcentral describes it as "bacterial SSU rRNA". It matches the Rfam family "Bacterial small subunit ribosomal RNA", at positions 917 to 1381 of the family's 1533-position model. Lineage: Bacteria; Bacillati; Chloroflexota; Anaerolineae; Anaerolineales; Anaerolineaceae. The record is from RNAcentral.
GACGGGCCCGCACAAGCAGCGGAGCGUGUGGUUUAAUUCGAUGUUACACGAAGAACCUUACCAGGGUUUGACAUGCAAGUGGUAGGAAGCCGAAAGGUGACCGACCCUUCGGGGAGCUUGCACAGGUGCUGCAUGGCUGUCGUCAGCUCGUGUCGUGAGAUGUUCGGUUAAGUCCGCUAACGAGCGCAACCCUCGCUGUGUGUUAUAUGUGUCACACGGGACUGCCGGUCUUAAGCCGGAGGAAGGUGGGGAUGAUGUCAAGUCAGCAUGGCCUUUAUAUCCUGGGCUACACACACGCUACAAUGGGCGGUACAAAGGGUCGCAAACCUGUGAAGGGGAGCUAAUCCCAAAAAGCCGUCCUCAGUUCGGAUCGGAGUCUGCAACUCGACUCCGUGAAGUUGGAAUCGCUAGUAAUCGUGGAUCAGCAUGCCACGGUCGAAUACGUUCCCGGGCCUU